Molecule: long non-coding RNA, 311 nt
Filed under: Callithrix jacchus (white-tufted-ear marmoset)
Lineage: Eukaryota; Metazoa; Chordata; Mammalia; Primates; Cebidae
Description: lncRNA (ENSCJAG00000063838.2)
Source: RNAcentral
CCUAUUUUCUUUUUUUUCAGAUGGAGUCUCACUCUGUCACCCAGGCUGGAGGGCAAUGGCACGAUCUCAGCUCACUGCAAACUCUGCCUCCCAGGUUCAAGUGAUUCUCCUGCCUCAGCGUCCCAAGUAGCUGGAUUACAGGCUCUGUGGGAUGUGUGCAUCUCACAUGGAAGGCUCAGGACCUGUCUUUGAAUGAAUUAAUGAGGAAAUGGAAAACUUCACUCUACUGCUCCUGUAAAUGUAGAAUAAGGUACUUUUUUUUCACAUCCAUUACAACUCAGUGAGAAUUCCUUAUGACAGUUUAUAGCGCA